RNAcentral lists this non-coding RNA (166 nucleotides) under human gut metagenome. RNAcentral describes it as "Lysine riboswitch". It matches the Rfam family "Lysine riboswitch aptamer". From Rfam's summary of the family: Riboswitches are metabolite binding domains within certain messenger RNAs that serve as precision sensors for their corresponding targets. RNAcentral also lists the same sequence under 1 other name. The record is from RNAcentral.
CAGAUAGAGGUCGCGUCUUUUAUCAGUAACCGCCCUGAUGUCAAGGAGCAGGAGAGGGACGGCAAAAGGAAAAGACGCCGAAAGAAAAUGCUACCUGAAGGUAUUUUCUUGGGCAUACAGUUAAGAGCUGUAUGACUGUCAUCAAUUAGGAUGGGGAGCUAUCGGA